UGGGGAAUAUUGCACAAUGGGCGCAAGCCUGAUGCAGCCAUGCCGCGUGUGUGAAGAAGGCCUUCGGGUUGUAAAGCACUUUCAGCGAGGAGGAAGGUGGUGAGCUUAAUACGCUCAUCAAUUGACGUUACUCGCAGAAGAAGCACCGGCUAACUCCGUGCCAGCAGCCGCGGUAAUACGGAGGGUGCAAGCGUUAAUCGGAAUUACUGGGCGUAAAGCGCACGCAGGCGGUUUGUUAAGUCAGAUGUGAAAUCCCCGGGCUCAACCUGGGAACUGCAUUUGAAACUGGCAAGCUAGAGUCUCGUAGAGGGGGUAGAAUUCCAGGUGUAGCGGUGAAAUGCGUAGAGAUCUGGAGGAAUACCGGUGGCGAAGGCGGCCCCCUGGACGAAGACUGACCGCUCAGGUGCGAAAGCGUGGGGAGCAAACAGAUUAGAUACCCUGGUAGUCCACGCUGUAAACGAUGUCGAUUUUGGAGGUUGUGCCCUUGAGGCGUGGCUUCC
RNAcentral lists this ribosomal RNA (500 nucleotides) under uncultured bacterium. Its description in RNAcentral is "partial 16S ribosomal RNA". It matches the Rfam family "Bacterial small subunit ribosomal RNA", at positions 355 to 847 of the family's 1533-position model. The record is from RNAcentral.